ACUUCUCUAGUAUACCACAAUACCAAUGGCUUCCAACCAUUAAAUCUUAGCUCAAACCUAAGGAGAAGUA
Molecule: transfer RNA, 70 nt
Filed under: Ichthyophis bannanicus
Lineage: Eukaryota; Metazoa; Chordata; Amphibia; Gymnophiona; Ichthyophiidae
Description: tRNA-Gly
Source: RNAcentral